This is a long non-coding RNA of Chelonia mydas (Green sea turtle), 1617 nucleotides long. RefSeq lists it as uncharacterized. Lineage: Eukaryota; Metazoa; Chordata; Testudines; Cheloniidae. The record is from RefSeq and is a predicted model, not a curated record. The transcript is spliced from 3 exons.
CGUCAGCAGGGGCCGGGAAUACUGCAGUGAUAUGCACGGUUAUUUAAGAACAAUCUUUCUGGUCAUUUGAAUGGUAAAGACAUUCAGAGAAGGAGUCAGGUCCAGUCCACUCUACAAGUUACGUGUGUCCUCCAUGGUGAGCAAGGACUUCUGAAGCGAGAUCAGCAGCGGGAGGGAGAGGGAUCCUUAUGGCUCAAAGUGGGAACAGUGCGGAGGACGGAAAGGCAAACUGAAGUCAGGCCUAGUGACAGGUCCCCCCUACCUUCUGAGAUUUUCUGAAGCCUUGAUAGCAUCUGAGCAAGUUUCUGUUGCCGUUCAGCCAGCUCUCCACGGCCACUGAAAUCUACACGGAAGAGCGCCAUUAUGGAGUCAAUGAUCUGCAUGGUAAAGAUACAAAAUAAAUGAAUGUAGUGAAAGAAAAGGAAGGAAGAAAAGAGGAAAUUAUCCUGAAAGCAUUAAGCUGAUGCAGAAGAGUAAAAUGACCUAAAGGCUCAUACCAAUAGCUUGAAGAUGCCAGCUUCCUCAUGGAACUUGGCUGCUACAUAGUCAAGCAACUCCAUCUGAUGUUCACCUGGUGGAAAGUACAGUUGGACAAUGAAAUUAAGACCCAGAAGGAGCCGAGGCGUGAGGACAAGGAAGAAGAGGAAGACACCAAGGAACUGCUACUAAAGGAGCUGUUCCUGGAGCAGCUUCACAACAUGCAGCAUUGUUUCUGGGCUUGGAAAACCAGCGUCAAUUGCUGGAAAAGGAUUGUUUGGCAGACCUGGGAUGACCUGCCGUGGCAAGAGAAUUUCAGGAUGGGGAAGGCAACCUUUUUUGAAAUAUGAGCUGAACUAGCCCUGGAGCUGCAACAGCAGCUUACCAACAUGCAGCAUCUCAUAUUCAUGGAGAAGCAAGUUGCCACUGACAUCUUGAAGCUGGUCACCCCCAAAUGUUACCAUCUAUAGCCAAUCAAUUUGGUGUAGGGAGAUCUACUGUUGGGGCUAUUGUCAUGCAGGUAUGUGAUGCCCUGAAUAAGGUACUGUUCCACAAGGUUAUAAAGCUUGAUAAUGCUCAGGAGAGUAUUGAUGCCUUUGCUUGUGCCUAUUAUUUGUGUAUCCCCAACACUGCAGGGCUCAGAAUUUAUAAACAAAAAGAGAUAUUCCUCCACGGUGUUCCAAGGGCUGGUUGACCAUGGAGGCAGGUUUACAAACAUAAAAUGCAGAGUCUGGAAGGCUCCACAAUGAUAGUAUCUUUUGGAAUUCAGCUCUAUUUACCUUCAUGAAUAAAGGACUGUUUUCCCCCAGGAUCACUAUGGACAUGAACGGUGUGGAGACUACUCCAAUUAUCCUGGGAGACCUGGUUUAUCCUCUGGUUCCCUGGUUAAUGAAGUCAUUCACAGGCCACGUGGACAGAAGGAGGAAACUGUUUAUCACAUCAGUACAUAGGCUCUGACUCCAUGUGUGCUCCGGGGCUGGAGCACCCACAGAAAAAAAGUGCGGGUGCUCAGCACCCACUGGCAGCACCGCCAAUCAGCUGCUCCCCCUACCCCUCAGUGCCUCCCGCCCAUUGCAGAUCAGCUGUUUAGUGGUGUGCACAAGGAAUGAGGGCGCUCAAGGGAAGGGGUGGAGCAGGGGA